RNAcentral lists this ribosomal RNA (2577 nucleotides) under soil metagenome. Its description in RNAcentral is "bacterial LSU rRNA". It matches the Rfam family "Bacterial large subunit ribosomal RNA", at positions 1 to 2605 of the family's 2925-position model. The record is from RNAcentral.
UUAAGCGACUAAGCGUACACGGUGGAUGCCCUGGCAGUCAGAGGCGAUGAAGGACGUGCUAAUCUGCGAUAAGCGUCGGUAAGGUGAUAUGAACCGUUAUAACCGGCGAUUUCCGAAUGGGGAAACCCAGUGUGUUUCGACACACUAUCAUUAACUGAAUCCAUAGGUUAAUGAGGCGAACCGGGGGAACUGAAACAUCUAAGUACCCCGAGGAAAAGAAAUCAACCGAGAUUCCCCCAGUAGCGGCGAGCGAACGGGGAGCAGCCCAGAGCCUGAAUCAGUGUGUGUGUUAGUGGAAGCGUCUGGAAAGGCGCGCGAUACAGGGUGACAGCCCCGUACACAAAAAUGCACAUGCUGUGAGCUCGAUGAGUAGGGCGGGACACGUGGUAUCCUGUCUGAAUAUGGGGGGACCAUCCUCCAAGGCUAAAUACUCCUGACUGACCGAUAGUGAACCAGUACCGUGAGGGAAAGGCGAAAAGAACCCCGGCGAGGGGAGUGAAAAAGAACCUGAAACCGUGUACGUACAAGCAGUGGGAGCACGCUUAGGCGUGUGACUGCGUACCUUUUGUAUAAUGGGUCAGCGACUUAUAUUCUGUAGCAAGGUUAACCGAAUAGGGGAGCCGAAGGGAAACCGAGUCUUAACUGGGCGUUAAGUUGCAGGAUAUAGACCCGAAACCCGGUGAUCUAGCCAUGGGCAGGUUGAAGGUUGGGUAACACUAACUGGAGGACCGAACCGACUAAUGUUGAAAAAUUAGCGGAUGACUUGUGGCUGGGGGUGAAAGGCCAAUCAAACCGGGAGAUAGCUGGUUCUCCCCGAAAGCUAUUUAGGUAGCGCCUCGUGAAUUCAUCUCCGGGGGUAGAGCACUGUUUCGGCAAGGGGGUCAUCCCGACUUACCAACCCGAUGCAAACUGCGAAUACCGGAGAAUGUUAUCACGGGAGACACACGGCGGGUGCUAACGUCCGUCGUGAAGAGGGAAACAACCCAGACCGCCAGCUAAGGUCCCAAAGUCAUGGUUAAGUGGGAAACGAUGUGGGAAGGCCCAGACAGCCAGGAUGUUGGCUUAGAAGCAGCCAUCAUUUAAAGAAAGCGUAAUAGCUCACUGGUCGAGUCGGCCUGCGCGGAAGAUGUAACGGGGCUAAACCAUGCACCGAAGCUGCGGCAGCGACGCUUAUGCGUUGUUGGGUAGGGGAGCGUUCUGUAAGCCUGCGAAGGUGUGCUGUGAGGCAUGCUGGAGGUAUCAGAAGUGCGAAUGCUGACAUAAGUAACGAUAAAGCGGGUGAAAAGCCCGCUCGCCGGAAGACCAAGGGUUCCUGUCCAACGUUAAUCGGGGCAGGGUGAGUCGACCCCUAAGGCGAGGCCGAAAGGCGUAGUCGAUGGGAAACAGGUUAAUAUUCCUGUACUUGGUGUUACUGCGAAGGGGGGACGGAGAAGGCUAUGUUGGCCGGGCGACGGUUGUCCCGGUUUAAGCGUGUAGGCUGGUUUUCCAGGCAAAUCCGGAAAAUCAAGGCUGAGGCGUGAUGACGAGGCACUACGGUGCUGAAGCAACAAAUGCCCUGCUUCCAGGAAAAGCCUCUAAGCAUCAGGUAACAUCAAAUCGUACCCCAAACCGACACAGGUGGUCAGGUAGAGAAUACCAAGGCGCUUGAGAGAACUCGGGUGAAGGAACUAGGCAAAAUGGUGCCGUAACUUCGGGAGAAGGCACGCUGAUAUGUAGGUGAAGCGACUUGCUCGUGGAGCUGAAAUCAGUCGAAGAUACCAGCUGGCUGCAACUGUUUAUUAAAAACACAGCACUGUGCAAACACGAAAGUGGACGUAUACGGUGUGACGCCUGCCCGGUGCCGGAAGGUUAAUUGAUGGGGUUAGCGCAAGCGAAGCUCUUGAUCGAAGCCCCGGUAAACGGCGGCCGUAACUAUAACGGUCCUAAGGUAGCGAAAUUCCUUGUCGGGUAAGUUCCGACCUGCACGAAUGGCGUAAUGAUGGCCAGGCUGUCUCCACCCGAGACUCAGUGAAAUUGAACUCGCUGUGAAGAUGCAGUGUACCCGCGGCAAGACGGAAAGACCCCGUGAACCUUUACUAUAGCUUGACACUGAACAUUGAGCCUUGAUGUGUAGGAUAGGUGGGAGGCUUUGAAGUGUGGACGCCAGUCUGCAUGGAGCCGACCUUGAAAUACCACCCUUUAAUGUUUGAUGUUCUAACGUUGACCCGUAAUCCGGGUUGCGGACAGUGUCUGGUGGGUAGUUUGACUGGGGCGGUCUCCUCCUAAAGAGUAACGGAGGAGCACGAAGGUUGGCUAAUCCUGGUCGGACAUCAGGAGGUUAGUGCAAUGGCAUAAGCCAGCUUGACUGCGAGCGUGACGGCGCGAGCAGGUGCGAAAGCAGGUCAUAGUGAUCCGGUGGUUCUGAAUGGAAGGGCCAUCGCUCAACGGAUAAAAGGUACUCCGGGGAUAACAGGCUGAUACCGCCCAAGAGUUCAUAUCGACGGCGGUGUUUGGCACCUCGAUGUCGGCUCAUCACAUCCUGGGGCUGAAGUAGGUCCCAAGGGUAUGGCUGUUCGCCAUUUAAAGUGGUACGCGAGC